GACGAACGCUGGCGGCGUGCCUAAUACAUGCAAGUCGAACGCUUUUUCCUUCACCGGAGCUUGCUCCACCGAAAGAAAAGGAGUGGCGAACGGGUGAGUAACACGUGGGUAACCUGCCCAUCAGAAGGGGAUAACACUUGGAAACAGGUGCUAAUACCGUAUAACAAUCGAAACCGCAUGGUUUCGGUUUGAAAGGCGCUUUUGCGUCACUGAUGGAUGGACCCGCGGUGCAUUAGCUAGUUGGUGAGGUAACGGCUCACCAAGGCAACGAUGCAUAGCCGACCUGAGAGGGUGAUCGGCCACAUUGGGACUGAGACACGGCCCAAACUCCUACGGGAGGCAGCAGUAGGGAAUCUUCGGCAAUGGACGGAAGUCUGACCGAGCAACGCCGCGUGAGUGAAGAAGGUUUUCGGAUCGUAAAACUCUGUUGUUAGAGAAGAACAAGGAUGAGAGUAGAAUGUUCAUCCCUUGACGGUAUCUAACCAGAAAGCCACGGCUAACUACGUGCCAGCAGCCGCGGUAAUACGUAGGUGGCAAGCGUUGUCCGGAUUUAUUGGGCGUAUAGCGAGCGCAGGCGGUUUCUUAAGUCUGAUGUGAAAGCCCCCGGCUCAACCGGGGAGGGUCAUUGGAAACUGGGAAACUUGAGUGCAGAAGGGGAGAGUGGAAUUCCAUGUGUAGCGGUGAAAUGCGUAGAUAUAUGGAGGAACACCAGUGGCGAAGG
RNAcentral lists this ribosomal RNA (721 nucleotides) under uncultured Bacilli bacterium. RNAcentral's name for it is "bacterial SSU rRNA". It matches the Rfam family "Bacterial small subunit ribosomal RNA", at positions 28 to 721 of the family's 1533-position model. The record is from RNAcentral. Lineage: Bacteria; Bacillati; Bacillota; Bacilli.